Molecule: ribosomal RNA, 253 nt
Filed under: uncultured bacterium
Lineage: Bacteria
Description: partial 16S ribosomal RNA
Rfam family: Bacterial small subunit ribosomal RNA
Source: RNAcentral
GACAGAGGGGGCAAGCGUUGCUCGGAAUUACUGGGCGUAAAGCGCACGUAGGCGGCUUUGUAAGUUAGGGGUGAAAGCCUGGAGCUCAACUUCAGAAUUGCCCUUAAGACUGCAUCGCUUGAAUCCAGGAGAGGUGAGUGGAAUUCCGAGUGUAGAGGUGAAAUUCGUAGAUAUCAAGCGGAACACCGGUGGCGAAGGCGGCCUUCUGGACAGUGACUGACGCUGAGACGCGAAAGCGUGGGGAGCAAACAGG